AUUGAACGCUGGCGGCAGGCCUAACACAUGCAAGUCGAGCGAGCGGCGGACGGGUGAGUAAUGUAUGGGGACUGCCCGAUAGAGGGGGAUAACUACUGGAAACGGUAGCUAAUACAGCAUACGAUCGGAUAACCCAUAUGGGAUUAGCGAGUAGGUGAGGUAAGGUCUGACCAAGGCGACACUCCCUAGCUGGUCUGAGAGGAUGAUCAGCCAAACUGGGACUGAGACCCGGCCCAGACUCCUACGGAGGCAGCAGUGGGGAAUAUUGCACAAUGGGCGCAAGCCUGAUGCAGCCAUGCCGCGUGUAUGAAGAAGGCCUUAGGGUUGUAAAGUACUUUCAGUCGGGAGGCGUUACCGACAGAAGAAGCACCGGCUAACUCCGUGCCAGCCGCCGCGGUAAUUC
Molecule: ribosomal RNA, 403 nt
Filed under: uncultured bacterium
Lineage: Bacteria
Description: partial 16S ribosomal RNA
Rfam family: Bacterial small subunit ribosomal RNA
Source: RNAcentral